GCCAUUACAAGUGCUUACUAUAGGGGUGCUCUUGGAGCUCUUCUGGUAUAUGAUGUGACAAAACCCACUACCUUUGAGAAUGUUAGUCGGUGGUUGAAGGAACUGAGGGACCAUGCAGAUUCAAACAUUGUGAUUAUGCUCAUUGGAAACAAAACCGAUCUGAAGCACCUCAGAGCAGUUGCUACUGAGGAUGCUCAAAGCUUUGCUGAAAAAGAGGGCCUUUCUUUCAUUGAAACGUCUGCAUUGGAGGCAACAAAUGUAGAGAAGUCUUUCCAGACAAUUCUUUCAGAAAUCUAUCGGAUAAUCAGUAAGAAGCCACUUUCUUCAGAGGAGCCAGCAAAUGCUAACAUCAAAGAAGGAAAGACUCUUGUUGUUGGGGCAGAGGAGCCUGCUCCCAAGAAGGCAUGUUGCUCUGCAUAGUAAUGGUCAUUAGUUUUUUAAGCCUCUAAAUUGUUCCUUUUGUUAGUGGUAAUUACUACUGUUUCUUUCUCUUUUUUCUCUUCUAUAUUUUUGGUUUAUGAUAUACCUAUUUUCAUCAUUAGGAAUGUUCAUGUGCA
RNAcentral lists this unclassified non-coding RNA (557 nucleotides) under Hevea brasiliensis (rubber tree). The record is from RNAcentral. Lineage: Eukaryota; Viridiplantae; Streptophyta; Magnoliopsida; Malpighiales; Euphorbiaceae.